RNAcentral lists this ribosomal RNA (336 nucleotides) under Bacillus sp. (in: firmicutes). Its description in RNAcentral is "bacterial SSU rRNA". It matches the Rfam family "Bacterial small subunit ribosomal RNA", at positions 57 to 381 of the family's 1533-position model. The record is from RNAcentral. Lineage: Bacteria; Bacillati; Bacillota; Bacilli; Caryophanales; Bacillaceae.
GCAGUCGAGCGAACUGAUUAGAAGCUUGCUUCUAUGACGUUAGCGGCGGACGGGUGAGCCUCACGUGGGCAACCUGCCUGUAAGACUGGGAUAACUUCGGGAAACCGAAGCUAAUACCGGAUAGGAUCUUCUCCUUCAUGGGAGAUGAUUGAAAGAUGGUUUCGGCUAUCACUUACAGAUGGGCCCGCGGUGCAUUAGCUAGUUGGUGAGGUCACGGCCCAACCAAGGCACCGAUGCAUAGCCGACCUGAGAGGGUGAUCGGCCACACUGGGACUGAAACACGGCCCAAACUUCUACGGGAGGCAGCAGUAGGGAAUCUUCCGUAAUGGACGAAAG